GUCAUUUAAAUAGAAAAUGCACCUGUGCCCAUGGGCGUGCUGGUCUUACAGGAAGGUGUGUUCAGGUGCAUUCUGGGUGUGCUGGUCUUACAGGAAGGUGUGUUCAGGUGCAUUCUGGGCGUAUUGCUAUCUCGAGGCGGCGGGAAGUGAUCGCGUCAUUGACCAACAAAAACCUGGUCUAUAAGUAAAUAACGCAGCAUUUCAUUGUUAUUUCAACAGC
Long non-coding RNA from Etheostoma spectabile (orangethroat darter), 220 nucleotides. RefSeq lists it as uncharacterized. The record is from RefSeq and is a predicted model, not a curated record. The transcript has 2 exons. Lineage: Eukaryota; Metazoa; Chordata; Actinopteri; Perciformes; Percidae.